Molecule: ribosomal RNA, 253 nt
Filed under: uncultured bacterium
Lineage: Bacteria
Description: partial 16S ribosomal RNA
Rfam family: Bacterial small subunit ribosomal RNA
Source: RNAcentral
UACAGAGGUCUCAAGCGUUGUUCGGAUUCAUUGGGCGUAAAGGGUGCGUAGGCGGUGGGGUGAGUUUGGGGUGAAAUCUCCGGGCCCAACCCGGAAAAUGCCUUGAAUACUAUCCUGCUUGAGGAUCGGAGGGGAGACUGGAAUUCCCGGUGUAGUGGUGAAAUGCGCAGAUAUCAGGAGGAACACCGGUGGCGAAGGCGGGUCUCUGGGCCGAUACUGACGCUGAGGAGCGAAAGCGUGGGGAGCGAACAGG